Ornithorhynchus anatinus (platypus) is the source of this 82-nucleotide small nucleolar RNA. RefSeq annotates it as small nucleolar RNA SNORD45. The record is from RefSeq and is a predicted model, not a curated record. The transcript has a single exon. NCBI's taxonomy places the organism in Eukaryota, Metazoa, Chordata, Mammalia, Monotremata, Ornithorhynchidae.
GGUCAGUGAUGUGUUGGCAUGUAUUAUCUGAAUCUAAAGUUGAUGCUUACCAUUCCUAUAGCUCUAGGAUUACUGAGACCUU